AGCUCUGUAAGCGUAUACCAAAGUUGUUGCAGUUAAAACGCUCGUAGUCGUAGCUUGGCGAUUCCGGGUGUGAGCACGUCGUGUGCACGCGCUGCGGGGAUUGCUUUUGUGGGUUUGCGUAAGAUGAGGCACUUUCAUUAGUGAACGUCUUCACGCAUCCACUGUUUACUGUGAGAAAAUCAGAGUGCUCAAAGCAGGCAGUUGCCGUGAAUGUAUUAGCAUGGAAUAAUAGAAUAGGACUCGGUUCUAUUUUGUUGGUUUGUUGGGACUGAGUAAUGAUUAAGAGGGACAGUUGGGGGCAUUUGUAUUUCGUCGCUAGAGGUGAAAUUCUUAGAUUGACGAAAGACAAACUGCUGCGAAAGCGUCUGCCAAGGAUGUUUUCAUUGAUCAAGAACGAAAG
This 400-nucleotide ribosomal RNA is filed under the name phytoplankton environmental sample. RNAcentral describes it as "partial small subunit ribosomal RNA". It matches the Rfam family "Eukaryotic small subunit ribosomal RNA", at positions 587 to 989 of the family's 1831-position model. The record is from RNAcentral.